UACGGCGGAUGCGAGCGUUAUCCGGAUUUAUUGGGUUUAAAGGGUGCGCAGGCGGAGGUGCAAGUCAGUGGUCAAAUUGCGGGGCUCAACCCCGGCCUGCCGUCGGAACUGGGUGCCUUGAGUGGGCGAGAAGUAUGCGGAAUGCGUGGUGUAGCGGUGAAAUGCAUAGAUAUCACGCAGAACCCCGAUUGCGAAGGCAGCAUACCGGCGCCCUACUGACGCUGAGGCACGAAAGUGCGGGUAUCGAACAGG
Molecule: ribosomal RNA, 252 nt
Filed under: uncultured Bacteroidales bacterium
Lineage: Bacteria; Pseudomonadati; Bacteroidota; Bacteroidia; Bacteroidales
Description: partial 16S ribosomal RNA
Rfam family: Bacterial small subunit ribosomal RNA
Source: RNAcentral